Molecule: non-coding RNA, 5677 nt
Organism: Microcebus murinus (gray mouse lemur)
Lineage: Eukaryota; Metazoa; Chordata; Mammalia; Primates; Cheirogaleidae
Source: RefSeq, a predicted model, not a curated record
ACUUACUUUUAUUUAUUUGUUUUUUGUUUUGUGUUUUGCCAUGUGAGGCAUUUUUGAUUUGUAUGUACACUCAUAUCUAUCCAUUUUUUCACUUAUGGUUUCUGUCUAUGUUCAGUUGCUUAAAACAGCUUCUUGACAUCCAAAGUAUAGAAAUAUUGCUCCUUCUAGGACUUUUAUAGUUUAACAUUUAACACUAAGGACCAAAAUCAUUAGGAAUACAACUGGUAUAAAUGAUAAAGCCAUGUUGCUUAUUGGCAUACUACUCACAGGGCCAAAUUUGGUGGAUGGGUAAGUUUGAAUGAUGAAAGGUAAUAACAGAAGAUGAUCCUGUGUGAAAUUUUGGUUCAAAGCAUGAUAAUUCUGGCCCCCAAUUAAUUUUGGUUUCCCAAAGCUAACAAAUAAAAAUACAGGACACUCAGUUAAAUUUGCAUUCCAGAUAAACAACAGAUAGUUUCUUAGUUUAAGUACGUCCCUACUGUAUUUUAUCAGGUAAAACAAAAUAAAUAAAGAAGGCUGAUUUGAAAUAACUCUUCAAGAAGUGAAAGUCUAUGAUAAUAAUUUGAGACCAUAAUAGGGAUUCAUACCUCACCAAGAAGAAGAAUGGAAAGUAGACAUCAAACAAAGUUUGGAUAGAUGAAGGGUGCUAGAACACACUCACGUUUGCAAGAGCUGAUUAUGCCCAUCUUUUCCCAUCCACAUUUAGUGAUGUCAGGUUUGAAAGGUAGCGAUGGUGAGUGUAUUUACAACACAGACAUCCCCAAAUGCUGAAAUCAAAUUUUUUGUUUUUUUAUUUUACCCGAGGGAGCCAGUUAUUAACAGUGGAGGCAGCUGAAAGGGAAGUCCGAGAAGACUCCAAACAUUAUUACCUUAACUUACUUUGUGGUUUGGCCUGAGCUUAGGCCUGGCCAGUCAUGGCAUCUGCCAUUCAUGGAACAGUGAGCUGAGCCUCAAGUCCCAUGGCAAACCUCACCUGGCUUUGAAUAUAGAAUCACCAGAAUGUGAUUAAGCUCUCCGCCAAUCUUGAUUUUAAGACCGUGGCAAGUUACUUAAUCCCGCUCUCUAAAAUCUAAGGUUUUGUGAGGAUGUGCCAGGGGGCACAGGAAGCCACCGGAUAAACACAGUCCAUCUAACUUUAUUUCAAUUUAUGUACAUGCUUAAAACACAGACCAAAAUAAAUAUAAGUAAUAAUAAUAAAAGCCCACCUAGGCCUACUUUAGGUUAGUUUUGGAACUCUUCAUGUCCACUGACCUUCGCCUUUGUUGAGUAUUUAGAUGAAAAUGAAUGAAAAGUAUUGAUACUACAAUAAUAACUCCACACCUCAGUGUCCUCAUUGAACAGAACAGGAGGGUUGUCAGAAUGAAAUGAAAUAAUAGAUGUUAACCAUGGAGUAUUUGUAGUUAGUACCUCUAUUUUUAGGAAUGUUUGUUGGGUCAGCUCAUGACCUAGGAACCUCAGAGAUCAGCAAGCACCCAACUCAGGGUCUGAACUUUGACCUCAGGGUCAGUAGCCCUAGGUGCUCUUGAAGAACACAAAUCCUAGUAGACUAAACAUAGAUAGGGCUAGAGAGUCCCACUGCCUGAAAAUUUAUUUUUGCUGAUUUCUACAAAAAUCAGCAUUUGCUAUUGAAUUUUACCUUUACUUGAUUUGUUUAAGAAACAUAGUAAACAUUCUCUAAAAAUGAUUGAAACAUUCUUCACUGAUGGAAUUACAUUGUUUUUGGAAAAAAGCAGCUCACAUCAUUCUGCUAAUUCACAAUAGAUUAAAAAUGUGCAAUACCGUUAUUUUGUAUUUUUUGUCCUAUUAAUCCAUGUACAAAAUCAUGCAUUUUUUUAAAAAAACUUCGAUAUGACACUUUUAACUUCUUAAUUUAAAAAGUCCAAACCACAAUGUUACUAUUUUUGCAAGAAAAAUAGCACCCCAAAUACUUACCUAUAAAGUUAAAUUCAACCAGAAAUUUACAUUUUCACAAAUUCUCUUCUUUGGAAGCAGCAGAUAUUUAAAAUCAUUACAUAUUGUGUUCAUACUGCAUGCACAUAAAAUUGACUAGAGACCCCAAAAGUAAGCUCUUGGGAACCCAGACUUUGUUUCCAAGGAGGGAAAACAAACCCUCUUUGUCUGAAUAAGUGAAAGGUACCAAAAGAGAGUGAAAACCAGUUUUCCUUUUGUAGGAGAACCAGCAGUGGAAGAAAAGAUCACUUCCUUUGUAGACACUUUAUGGGUUUCGGAUUCUGUAAACUCUGGCAUGUAACUUGACCCUAAAGUUAAUGAAAUCCUGUUAGACUUUCCCUGCCCUCCUUCCUGCUUCCAUCCUUCUGGUUGUCUCACCUUUUUAAAACUCGAUUUGUAUUUGUAUACAUGUGUGAUCCCCAGGUCAUUGUUUGGCUUUUUAUGCAGGCACUUUUCACCUACAUCCUCUCUCCUUCCCUCAUUUGGCAGCCGGUUGGACUUCUUCCUGCCUUGAAUACCGCAUUCCCUGGUUAUUCAAGCUCAGUCAUUAGCACCCUGUCCCCCUACUAAAAUUAUGAAUGAAAAGCCUUGUUGUUCUUUACAAAUAACUCUGGCUGCCUCAGUCAGUCAAAUUCCAAUGGAAGUGACUGCCAGACAAAGGGGCGGGAUGAUGGACAGUGCUCACAGCAAGUCAUCAAUGCCCACAGGAAGUUUUUUAAGCCACAAUAUAGGUAGAGAGGCUUGGGCGUUCCCGGAGGACAAGCCUACCGAAGGGGGCUGAGAACCCGGUUGCUCUUUGUCUCUGUUUGGAUCUUAGAAAAAAAACCUGUACGAAAGCUCAGAGAUAACAAUGUACAGAGUCAGUUUUGCUCUAGGAAAAAAAAAUAAAAAAAUCCGUGCAUGGAGACAUCUACUACACCUUGCAGCAAUUCUGGUUUCAACUGACACACACAGACAAAAGUGAAGGCACCAACCAUUGACUUGGUUCUGAAUGCCAAACGGUGCGAGAGUGGGUUACAUGCUCGGAGCUGCACAACUCCCUGCUGAGAAGUUGCAUUGUCUUGGGCCCCUCUUUCACAACAGGGGAAAAGGUAAUUGACAGCCCGAUUGUUUGGCCGAGACCCCUGCUGUUUUAAAAUCCUGGAAGGCCCCAGUCACACGUUGUCAAUAAUAGCCCUCGGAGGUGAGGAGUGAAGAAGGGCUGUUCAGGAAACAGUUUGAGCCCUUCAAGUGGACAGGCCUCAGUGACUUCUGCACUCUGGCUGCCACAAGCAGCUCAUUCAAAAAUAACCUUUAAGUAAUAAAUCAAACUUGUUUCCUGAACUAUACAAGAAACAGCUGGUUAUUUUUCCUCACUUUUUUUUUCAAAGCCAAAAAAAAAAAAAAAAAAAAGGAAGAAGAAGAAGAAAACCAGGAGAUUUUUACUACAGGAAACCAAGCAUGUCAAAAUUUGGCAAAGCAAUUUGGAUGAUUUAACAGUUAAACACUUCUCUUUUUAAUGUUAUGCUUUCAUCAGUCUUUUUUAUUCAAGCUUUUCUUUUUUGCAUUCUGUUUGCUGCAAUUAGUGCCCUCUAUCUGUUCCCCUCCUAUUUUUGAAAGGAAAAUGAGGUUAGUAUCCUGUACUUAGAGAGUAUUUGCUAUGUUAUUUCUAAUGUAUUGGUCAAGAGGCUUGACUUAUUUUACAGGUAGAAUUUGUUUUCUUCCUCAGAGAGAGAGAGAGAAUUUGGAUUUAGAACUACAGCUCCGCAGACUUGUUUCUCCUGAGAUCCAUAUAUUUCGGAGUUCUGAUGACAAGGCAGUUUUUCUUCAGUCUAUUGAUUCAGGAACCCUGAACUAGUAGUGCAUAUGCUGUAACUGAAGUCGUCUGGCAUUUUAAGAAAGGACAUUUUACAACUUUUCUGUCUCUUUGGGUCUCUGUUUGUGCCUGUCUUUGUGCCUUUCUUUGUGUGUCUUUUUCCCUCCUUAAAUAUGUUUGCCCUGCAGACUCUGGAAGGACCUGUCAACUUCUGAUUGACUUUACCAAUAAUUAAAAUACGAGCAUAAAUAAAUAACAUAAAACAAUUUACUUCUGUAAUGAUGACUUUUUAUCUUCAUUUUAACAGAUACCUAACAUUUUCCACAGAAAUCAUCUUGAAUGAAAAUAUUUUCUGAUCAAUCAGAGUAUACAUCUGAGAGAUUAGCUUUUCACAAUUUGUGGACAUCUAGUAUUAGAAAGAAAUGUAUUUCAGGAUCUGUCAGAUUUUACCAUACUAUGUCCAUUUUGAUCAAUUUAACUAUUAUUAAAUUGCCAAUCUUAAAAUUAGGUAUAAGGUUGGGUAAAACAUCUCUUUUUCACAGGAUAUUUUGAUCACUAUUUAAUGAAUUAAAAAAAUUGUGGGUCCUAAUUUAACAGCAUAUCAGAAAUUAUAAGUUAUAUUUUGAGAUAUUGUUCUAUGUAUAUGACAAAUUUAUUUUUCUCCAUUUUGUUAAAGAGAUUAUCCAUUUGUGAUAAUACACUGGUAAUGAAAAGUAUGUUUACAGGAAGAUAACAAAAUUCAAUUUACAGUAGAAUUAGGUCGUAAUAGACUUCAUUUUCUUUUGUACCUGCAGUAAAUAACAAAGCUAUAAGAGCACAAAAUAAUCCAUUUUUGUGGUAUAUAGUUAGACUAACACACUUUAUACACAUACAGUGUCUUGGCUGAUACAACUGUGAAUUCAGCCAUGGGUGUGGUUUCCAUAUAAAUGUUUCUUCCAUAUAUGGUGGAUAUUCAUACUGAACCUGUUUUGAUGCAACAUUUCUUCACUUUCAGCAUUUUAAGCUUCAAACAUGUGAUACGUGACUGGAUGGAAUUCCUUGAGAACUGUAUUAACAUGUUUUAAAGAGUUGAAUUAGCAGGGUGGCUGAGACACCCCGCUUGUUCUGGAGCCUGCAUAUGAAAUCCAGGGACAACUGACAACAUGCUGGCAGAAAGGCGGGAAUUUUUACCAGGAUCAGCUCUUCUGGAUCUCUGUCUGUAUUACCCUGUAGAGAAUGGAAGAGAGGAAGACAUGCUUACAAAUGAAGAUUUCCUCUAUAGAUGUUAAUUUCUCUUACAAAAGACUGUUUUUGUAUCUGAAACCAUUAGAAGAGAAGGGAGAGAAAGCUUCAAGAAAACAGUAAUACCAUCUCAGACGUGUCAUCUGCACAAAGUUGGUAUUGUUUGCUGCCUGCACUAAAGAUUGGUCUUGGAAGGGGUUUUGGUUGCAACCAACACAGACUAAGCUAGUUGAAGGAAAAGGAGGACAUUUUGGGCUGCUCUAUCUAAACAUGGAAGGUGGGAGUGGAGCUGUCUUUAGGAAUGUCUAGAAUCAAGGACCUGGGUCCUUAUCUGGAUUCUUUCUCUUCCCCUUCUCUGUUUCUCCUUUAACUUGACUGUUUGUUUUAUUUUUUUUUCUCCUUGAAUCACCUGGAACCACAGCUAGAAAUAUGGAUAAUGAACUUUUCAGCUUUAAUUACGGCUCUGAAACAAAAAAUUUGAAAAAGACUACUUUCUUCUCAAACUCAGGAUUACCCAGGAAAGUACUGUGAAUUGCCUGGCUUAGGGACACGUCCCUUUUCUUGAAACAAUCAUUCUGGACAUUGAGAUGAGACAUUAUAACUGGCCCAGCCUAAGUUACACACGGAUCUGUGACCCUGGGGUGAAGGGCAUGGACUGUAUAUCCAGAAUAAGGGAAGGAGGACAAAGCAAAUAAAAAUAAGAGCCAUUAGGAA